CAUGCUAGUCGAACGCGUUAAUAACGAGUGGCGAACGGGUGAGUAAUAUACGGGAAUCUACCUUAUAGUUUGGUUAAAUGCCUUAUAUAGAAAGAAUUAUUCGCUAUAAGAUGAGCCUUUGUAGGAUUAGGUAGUUGGUAAGGUAAUAGCUUACCAAGCCGAUGAUCCUUAAUUGGUCUGAGAGGAUGUACAAUCACACUAGAACUGAGACAAGGUCUAGACAUCUACGGAUGGCAGCAGUGGGGAAUAUUGAACAAUGAGCGAAAGCUUGAUUCAGCGAUAUAGAGUGAAUGAUGACAGCCAUUUGGUUGUAAAGUUCUUUUACCAAGGAAGAUUUUGACUUUACUUGGAGAAAAAGCCCCGGCAAAUUUCGUGCCAGCAGCCGCGGUGAUACGAAAGGGGCUAGUGUUAUUCGGAAUAAUUGGGUGUAAAGGGUGAGUAGGUUGUAAUCAUAGUUAACAAUUAAAUCUUAGUAGUAAUUACUAAAUCAAUUUUUAAUAACAAAUUACUAGAGUAGAAAAGAGGAUUGUAGAAUUUCAAGUGGAGAAAUAAAAUUCGUAGAUUUUUGAAGGAAUAUCGAAAGCGAAGGCAACAAUCUGGUUUUAUACUGACA
RNAcentral lists this ribosomal RNA (613 nucleotides) under uncultured bacterium. RNAcentral's name for it is "bacterial SSU rRNA". It matches the Rfam family "Bacterial small subunit ribosomal RNA", at positions 54 to 745 of the family's 1533-position model. The record is from RNAcentral.